CCUACGGGAGGCAGCAGUAGGGAAUAUUCCUCAAUGAGGGAAACCCUGAAGCAGCAACGCCGCGUGGAGGAUGAAGGUUUUCGGAUUGUAAACUGCUGUCGCGAGGGAUGAAGAAUGACGGUACCUCGUAAUAAAGCCCCGGCAAACUACGUGCCAGCAGCCGCGGUAAUACGUAGGGGGCGAGCGUUGUCCGGAAUGACUGGGCGGAAAGGGAGUGUAGGCGGCAUAUUAAGUUAUGUGUGAAAGCCCGCGGCUCAACCGCGGAAUUGCACAUAAAACUGGUAAGCUGGAGUGCAGGAGAGGUAAGUGGAAUUCCAGGUGUAGCGGUGGAAUGCGUAGAUAUCGGGAGGAACACCAGAGGCGAAGGCGACUUACUGGACUGUAACUGACGCUGAGGCUCGAAAGCGUGGGGAGCAAACAGGAUUAGAUACCCUGGUAGUC
RNAcentral lists this ribosomal RNA (441 nucleotides) under uncultured bacterium. RNAcentral's name for it is "partial 16S ribosomal RNA". It matches the Rfam family "Bacterial small subunit ribosomal RNA", at positions 338 to 795 of the family's 1533-position model. The record is from RNAcentral.